CAAAAAUCAUCCCGGGGGGGGCAGUGGACACCCCCCCAGCAUGAAAACACCUUGGGCUGUUGGCCACCCCCUUGCAGCGGGUAGCAGCAGGGUGGGCGCUCGCCGCGCCUUUCUGUGCGCCCCCCGGGGUGCUGCAACGCUGCGGGAGCCUCCCGGGGGGCUGGGGGUGCUCAGCACCCGCUUUCUGGGGUGCCCUGCGGAGUGGGGUGCCCCUUGGGGUGCUGUGGGAGGCUGUAGUAGGGUGCCACCAGCUCGUGCUGGGUGCUGUCACCGUGGGGCGCCGGUAGGGCCAGGGCCAGGCUCCUUUACCCCCUUAGGCUGCGCUGCGGUUUUGGGGGAGCUGAGUGGGGAGCCCAAGGGCAUCCUCGCCCCACUGCCCCUUGGGGUCCUUGUGCCCCGUGCAGAGGGGGCAGGAUGGGAUGGAGCAGGGCGCUGCCUCCUCUCCUCCCCCUGGCCCUGCAGGGAGGGCUCCAGGGCUGAGCUCCUGCAGAAACAAAACCCCAAAACGCCUUGGGAGAGGCAGCCGGUGCCGCCCCCGCACCAACUGCGCCAGCUGGGAAGGGGCUGGCACCAGAGACAGGAACAGUGAAGGGGGCUCUGUGCCCCACAGGGUGCUGCUCCGGGGUCCUGCCUCCUCCCAGACCCUACAGCUUGUGCCCUGGGCUCUUAUCACGGGGUGCCACGUCCCCGGGAGGCUGGGUGCCCAUCAUGGUUGGGGUGCCGAGGGGCUCUCCAGCUCCCCGCGCCUGCGUUUCCCCCCAGCUCGCGGGUGAUGUCAGGGAAAUUAAAAGCCAGCAGGAGACGAGCGGGUCGAGCCGAGUAACCGAAGCCGCCCGCAGGAGCUGCAGUAACGAGGCUGGCUGGGGCUGCGUCUGCCCGGAUCGGGUUGCCCGCAGAAUGCGACCCGGUCCCGUGAGGCUCAGCCCGGCUCAGCUUUCCCCUAACGAGCGCUUCCAUCCUUAAUGAAGCUCCGUGGGGCUCGCCGUGCCAGCCGAGCGUGUCUCCCCGCCUCACAGCUGGCCAAAAAGGGCCUCAGAGUGUUGUAGGGCUGCAGCACCGGGAGAAGGCACAGCCAGACUCAGGAGAGCUGGUGAUGGGGGCACCUCGGUACCUGGGGGGGUUCCCAUGUGCACAGCCCCUCACCCAUUUUGGCUCCUUCACCAAAAACCACAACAAAACUCCUCCUGGCGCUUGUCCUCCUGGCGGUUCCUAUUUCCCACAACCUCUCCUUUCCCCCUCGAUAAAAGGAGUUUCCUCGUGGGAAGCGGCGGCCAAUAUUGGCAGGAAAUGAGCCUUGAUUUAUCGGGCCGUUUGGCACUCUGGAGUUAUGAUUCUUCGAGUGCCGUGGUGAACCGAGGAGCAAAUCAUCCCCGGCCGUGCUGCCAGCAGCCUGCCCGGGCAGCCCCAGGGUGAGCGGGGUCCCUGUGGGGCCGGGGAUGCCCUGCAGGCAGCACUGCGGCUCUGCAGGGGAGGAGAGAAACGCUUUUUUGGGGCGUGAAUGCCAGCCUUUGCAGCACGAAGGGGGGAUUUUCAAGCACUGCAUCCUCCUGUCUGCCUCCCCUCUCGUCCCAAGCCCUCCCCUGCCCUUCCCACCGGGUGCAGGGGGCAGGAGGUGGUGUGGGUGCCCCCGUGCCCAGGGUUCGCCCCCACCACAGAUGUGCUGCUGGUCCCAGGAGCCCCCCGACUCGCUGGAAGAAUGCGAGCGCAGGGCUAUUUUGCAUCUGUAAUUAGCGGCGGAGGAUAAUUGGCCCCUCUGCAGCAAUUACGCAGAAAAGCGAGCCAUUGUGGAGAGCUCCGGCGCGGGGCAGGUGCUGCCAGAAACCCGGCUCGCAGCGACACAAUCCCCUUUUUGUCUGCAGAUACCCAGCCCCGAAGGCACCCUCCGAGCCCCAUCCGGGGCAGGGGCCGUGUUGGGGACAUAAAGGCUCCAUUUUUCCUGGGAAAACGCCUCGCUGCGCCGAGCUGGGUGCGGGCAGCGGCCGGGGGGAGCGCGGCCAUAAAGCCCAUGGGGAGGUCGGGGUCGCUGCCUCCUUCCCCUGCUGCUCGGCCCCAUAGGGAAGCUCCCUGCUCCAAGGCUCCCCUACAAAAGCACGGCAGGGCUCGCUGUUUGCCCUGCUGUUGCACAAAUCUCAGCCCCGGUGGCUGCCCCGCCGGGGACAAAGUCUGUCCGUGGGGCAGAGCUGUCAGCGAGGUGUCCCCGCUCCUGCCAAGCAGCAGGGGAAGAGCCCAGCUCCGUCCCAGCACCGCUCCCACCCCAGGGUGCCCACACACUGCCCGGCACAGCCGAGGAGGAGCAGCAGCACCGGGGGACGGGGGGGUCCCAGUGAGGUGCGGCCCGCAGGGAGCCAAAAUUGGGCUGUGGCUGGCUGCGGCGCGUGACCCUGGUGCUGGCACCUUCCUCCUGUGCUGCUGCUCCCAGCACCAUCCCUUCCUCGCCCUGCCUUCAUGCACGUGAUGAGGCGAUGCCUGCGGGCUGCCCAGCCUCGUUUGCCCUGAUCCUUUUAGCUCUUGUCCCCGAGCGAGCCGAGGAGGGCAUGGGGACACAGCCCGAUGAUGCCACCAGCAGGGCCGCUAACCAAAACCAUCCCUGGGGUAAGGGCUGAUUUCCUGGCUUCUCCUCACGCCUCCGCUGGGCGUUGCUGAUCUGCUGCACGCAGCAGUGCGGGGUCACCAUGCCCCCCGAGCUUGGGGACGCCCCAUGCCGCAGCAGCCGCCUUGCCCCGAGUUUUAUGGCCAGGGCUGAGGGAUGUGGGAGCAGCUCGGGGGGGUUGCGGGGGGGAGGCGCAGCCCUAAUCCGUUUAGCGAAGCGCUCACUUGGCCAUUUCUGAGGCAGGUGGAAGAACGGCGAGGAGGGGACGCGGGCAGCUCGGCAGGGCGAGCUCUCCCCAGUGGACGCGAGGGGCCAGGAGAUCACUUCUCCCUGGGGGCUGCCAUGGUCACCGCAGCCUCCCCAGCUCUGCCCUGUGAGGUUUGGC
Molecule: non-coding RNA, 2975 nt
Organism: Anas platyrhynchos (mallard)
Lineage: Eukaryota; Metazoa; Chordata; Aves; Anseriformes; Anatidae
Source: RefSeq, a predicted model, not a curated record